RNAcentral lists this ribosomal RNA (433 nucleotides) under uncultured bacterium. RNAcentral describes it as "partial 16S ribosomal RNA". It matches the Rfam family "Bacterial small subunit ribosomal RNA", at positions 29 to 507 of the family's 1533-position model. The record is from RNAcentral.
AACGUACGCUGGCGGCAGGCCUAACACAUGCAAGUCGAGCGAGGACUUCGGUCCUAGCGGCGGACGGGUGAGUAACGCGUGGGAACGUGCCCUUUGCUUCGGAAUAGCCCUGGGAAACUGGGAGUAAUACCGGAUGAGCCCUUUGGGGGAAAGAUUUAUCGGCGAAGGAUCGGCCCGCGUUGGAUUAGGUAGUUGGUGGGGUAAUGGCCUACCAAGCCGACGAUCCAUAGCUGGUUUGAGAGGAUGAUCAGCCACACUGGGACUGAGACACGGCCCAGACUCCUACGGGAGGCAGCAGUGGGGAAUCUUAGACAAUGGGGGAAACCCUGAUCUAGCCAUGCCGCGUGAGCGAUGAAGGCCUUAGGGUUGUAAAGCUCUUUCAGCUGGGAAGAUAAUGACGGUACCAGCAGAAGAAGCCCCGGCUAACUCCGCG